This 245-nucleotide ribosomal RNA is filed under the name uncultured bacterium. Its description in RNAcentral is "partial 16S ribosomal RNA". It matches the Rfam family "Bacterial small subunit ribosomal RNA", at positions 524 to 768 of the family's 1533-position model. The record is from RNAcentral.
UACGGAGGGUCCAAGCGUUAUCCGGAUUUACUGGGUUUAAAGGGUGCGUAGGUGGUCAGACCAGUCAGUGGUGAAAUCCUACAGCUUAACUGUAGAACUGCCAUUGAAACUUUCUGACUUGAGUGUAGUUGAGGCGGGUGGAAUGUAUCAUGUAGCGGUGAAAUGCUUAGAUAUGAUACAGAACACCGAUUGUGAAGGCAGCUCGCUAAACUAUUACUGACACUGAGGCACGAAAGCGUGGGUAU